This 301-nucleotide signal recognition particle RNA is filed under the name Nomascus leucogenys (northern white-cheeked gibbon). RNAcentral describes it as "Metazoan signal recognition particle RNA (ENSNLEG00000028298.1)". It matches the Rfam family "Metazoan signal recognition particle RNA". From Rfam's summary of the family: The signal recognition particle (SRP) is a universally conserved ribonucleoprotein. Lineage: Eukaryota; Metazoa; Chordata; Mammalia; Primates; Hylobatidae. The record is from Rfam by way of RNAcentral.
GCCAGAUGUGAUAACAUGUGCUUGUAAUCCCAGCUAUUCAGGAGGCUGAGGCAGGAGGAUCGCUUGAGCCCUGGAGUUCUGGGCUGUAGUACACUAUGUGGAUCGGCUGUCCACACUCAGUUUGGCAUCAAUAUGAUGACCUCCUGGGAGCAAGGGACCACCAGGUUGCCUAAAGAUGGGUGAACUGGUCUGGGUCGAAAAUGGAGCAGGUCAAAACUUCUAUGCUGAUCAGUAACAGGAUUGUGCCUGUGAAUAACCACUGCACUCAAGCCUGGGCAACAUAGCGAGACUCUGGUCUCCU